This is a non-coding RNA of Myotis lucifugus (little brown bat), 75 nucleotides long. NCBI's taxonomy places the organism in Eukaryota, Metazoa, Chordata, Mammalia, Chiroptera, Vespertilionidae. The record is from Rfam.
GGCAGUUCUCGAGUGGUGCACCCUGGAAUCGGGCUCCCUCCUCUCUGGUUCCGGGGUGCGUACCCAAGAACUGCC